GAACGGUUUCAGAGGAAUUAUAUAUUUUAUUGCUAGUUAUUUAGCCGCCAUAGCACUUUUCGUACCGGAAAAAUUUAUUAAUAUUUCAACCGGAAAAAUAAAGGGUAUAAACAUAGUGGAUAUGCAGUACAAAUUAAGUAGUCAUAUAGCUGAACUCGGCAAUGUUAUCUACGACGUAGAUAUUGACGUUUUCCAAAAUCUGAAUGAAAGACUUCAUCCAGAUGAUCAAAAACAAUACUCCUUUGACAUUUCCAGAGUGAACUGGAAUAAAUUGAUUGCGAGCAGUAUUGCUUGGCUGAGGAAGUUCUACUUUAAGGACUCAUGCAGCGUAACUUGGAUGCACAGAGUAGUGCAAUUAGGGUAUCUAGCUGCAGAAAUAGCGGCGUAUUUCAGCAUAUUCAUUGGAAUUGUUAUUCUUUUUCUUGUUGUUGGUUACUUUUUGGAUGUCGCAAUUUCGUCCGUUUUAAU
Molecule: long non-coding RNA, 468 nt
Organism: Phlebotomus papatasi
Lineage: Eukaryota; Metazoa; Arthropoda; Insecta; Diptera; Psychodidae
Exons: 3
Source: RefSeq, a predicted model, not a curated record